AUGCCGAGGUCACAAGCUGCAGCAUAUAGAGGGAGGAAGCACUACACAAGUCAGAAUGUGCUUGUUGUUGUUGACUUUGAUCUGAAGUUCACAUGUGUGCUAGCUGGAUGGGAAGGAUCGGCACAUAAUGCUAACACUCUCAGUGAUAACAUAGGUCGUCAUGAUGGCAUCAAUAUCCCCGAUGGCAAGUUCUACCUAGGAUAUGCUGGUUAUGCAUGUCAGCCAGGUGUUCUUCCACCCUUUAGGAAAACCAGGUACCAUCUGAACAAGUUCUCUGGUAGGAACUAUCCUAGGACUCCUCGGGAACUGUUCAACCUCAGACACUCCAGCCUUAGGGUAAUGGUUGAAAGGGCAUUUGGAGCUCUGAAGAAUAGGUUUAAGAUCCUGGAUCAAAAGCCAUUCUACCCUUACCCUACCCAGGUCAAGCUUGUUCUUGCAUGUUACAUCAUUCACAACUGGACCCUGCGGUGGGGAAUUGAUGAACUCGUGUCGGAGGAGGAAGAGGCGACUCCUGGUGAGGUGAUCAACUCCAGCCAUGGUGCGGAGGCAUUUGACGAAGCAUGGAGGAAUAAAAAGUUGGAGUGGGCAGACAAUGUGCGAUAA
This 603-nucleotide ribosomal RNA is filed under the name Triticum aestivum (bread wheat). RNAcentral's name for it is "partial small subunit ribosomal RNA". The record is from RNAcentral. Lineage: Eukaryota; Viridiplantae; Streptophyta; Magnoliopsida; Poales; Poaceae.